UUCUUAGACCCGCGCGGCGGUUUUUUAGGCGACCGGGUCAGGCGGGGAACCGAGCAGCCCAGCUUGGGCAAUCGAGCGCCGCGGCAAUCUGAGAGGAA
This 98-nucleotide signal recognition particle RNA is filed under the name Helicobacteraceae bacterium. RNAcentral describes it as "signal recognition particle sRNA small type". It matches the Rfam family "Bacterial small signal recognition particle RNA". Rfam says of the family: The signal recognition particle (SRP) is a universally conserved ribonucleoprotein involved in the co-translational targeting of proteins to membranes. Archaeal SRP consists of a 7S RNA and homologues of the eukaryotic SRP19 and SRP54 proteins. Lineage: Bacteria; Pseudomonadati; Campylobacterota; Epsilonproteobacteria; Campylobacterales; Helicobacteraceae. The record is from RNAcentral.